AAGUCGUAACAAGGUUUCCGUAGGUGAACCUGCGGAAGGAUCAUUAACAAAAAAAAAAUACAACAAAAACCUUUUUUAUUUUAUUAUUUAUAUUUUAAAUCAAACACCAUGUGAAUCUUUGUAAUUUUUUAUUACAAAAAAUUAAAAUAAAACCAAAAAAAUUUAAAAAAAAAUGAAAUUGAAAGAGAAAAAGAAACCCUUUAUCUCUUUCUUUACCAAAAAUUAAAUUUUUAAUCAAAGAAAAAUAACUCUUAACAAUGGAUAUCUCGGCUCUCGC
Molecule: unclassified non-coding RNA, 277 nt
Filed under: fungal sp.
Lineage: Eukaryota; Fungi
Description: partial internal transcribed spacer region
Rfam family: Eukaryotic small subunit ribosomal RNA (bases 1-46)
Source: RNAcentral